GACAGAGGGUGCGAACGUUGUUCGGAAUUACUGGGCGUAAAGCGCAUGUAGGCGGCAGCACAAGUCGGGCGUGAAAUCCCACGGCUCAACCGUGGAAGUGCACUCGAAACUGCGCAGCUAGAGUCCUGGAGAGGAAGGUGGAAUGCUUGGUGUAGAGGUGAAAUUCGUAGAUAUCAAGCGGAACACCGGUGGCGAAGGCGGCCUUCUGGACAGUGACUGACGCUGAGAUGCGAAAGCGUGGGGAGCAAACAGG
RNAcentral lists this ribosomal RNA (253 nucleotides) under uncultured bacterium. Its description in RNAcentral is "partial 16S ribosomal RNA". It matches the Rfam family "Bacterial small subunit ribosomal RNA", at positions 524 to 776 of the family's 1533-position model. The record is from RNAcentral.